RNAcentral lists this ribosomal RNA (123 nucleotides) under Methanobacteriota archaeon. Lineage: Archaea; Methanobacteriati; Methanobacteriota. The record is from RNAcentral.
GUUGACGGCCAAGGCGGCGGGGAAACACCCGGUCCCAUUCCGAACCCGGCAGUUAAGCCCGCCAGCGUAGGGGCUGUGUACUGAGGUGCGCGAGCCCUCGGGAAGGCUCCGACGCUGUCAACC